CUAAUAGUACAGUGAGUCGGCCAAGGGAAUCUGGUGUGAAUCCAGAACUGGCGCGCAGCGGUCAGGAGAGUACCGCCCGCAGGUAGAGAUUAAGACCACUGGCGUGGAUCGCGCUGGGAAGGUUUCUGUGGGAUGGAAUGAUCCUCCGAGUCCGAAAACCUGCCGACUCAGCGGUUAUCCU
This 181-nucleotide non-coding RNA is filed under the name Corynebacterium durum. Lineage: Bacteria; Bacillati; Actinomycetota; Actinomycetes; Mycobacteriales; Corynebacteriaceae. RNAcentral also lists the same sequence under 1 other name. The record is from RNAcentral.